Molecule: ribosomal RNA, 424 nt
Filed under: uncultured bacterium
Lineage: Bacteria
Description: bacterial SSU rRNA
Rfam family: Bacterial small subunit ribosomal RNA
Source: RNAcentral
UGUGGAAUAUUGGUCAAUGGGCGCGAGCCUGAACCAGCCAAGUAGCGUGAAGGAUGACUGCCCUACGGGUUGUAAACUUCUUUUAUAAAGGAAUAAAGUGAGGCACGUGUGCCUUUUUGUAUGUACUUUAUGAAUAAGGAUCGGCUAACUCCGUGCCAGCAGCCGCGGUAAUACGGAGGAUCCGAGCGUUAUCCGGAUUUAUUGGGUUUAAAGGGAGCGUAGAUGGGUUGUUAAGUCAGUUGUGAAAGUUUGCGGCUCAACCGUAAAAUUGCAAUUGAUACUGGCAGUCUUGAGUACAGUUGAGGUAGGCGGAAUUCGUGGUGUAGCGGUGAAAUGCUUAGAUAUCACGAAGAACUCCGAUUGCGAAGGCAGCUUACUAAACUGCCACUGACAUUGAUGCUCGAAAGUGUGGGUAUCAAACAGG